AUGACCUUCAUCAUCAUCUUCAUCUGGACUCUCACAGCGUUUGCUCAAGAGUGUAGAGGACAGAUCAGCGUCACUCAGAGUCCCUCAACAGCAGCUCAACCAGGAGAAACAGUGAAGAUCAGCUGCAAAACCAGCAAGGAUGUGUACAGAAGUACAACUUAUUCAGUGUACUUACUCAGCUGGUACUUACAGAAACCUGGAGAAGCUCCUAAACUCCUGAUUUAUGCUGCAAACACUCUCCAGUCAGGAACUCCAUCUAGAUUCAGUGGCAGUGGAUCUAACAGUGAUUUCACUCUGACCAUCAGUGGAGUCCAGACUGAAGAUGCUGGACAUUAUUACUGUCAGAGUUAUCACUACAUCAACAGUCAACAUAUGUUCACACAGUGAUAAAGCGUGGUACAAAAACCUGUGUCAGUCAGAGUCACAGUGACUGAACUGAUGCUGCAGCUGCUCAAACACUAUCACUCACUCUAUUAAACUGUGAUCUGUCCUGUAACAGAUGGGCUUGACUCAACUAUGCUCAGAUUCAGAGAAAACAGAGAGUGUAAUCUUAUA
This is a non-coding RNA of Carassius auratus (goldfish), 555 nucleotides long. NCBI's taxonomy places the organism in Eukaryota, Metazoa, Chordata, Actinopteri, Cypriniformes, Cyprinidae. The record is from the annotation of a RefSeq genome assembly.